This 1035-nucleotide ribosomal RNA is filed under the name Salmonella enterica. Its description in RNAcentral is "partial 23S ribosomal RNA". It matches the Rfam family "Bacterial large subunit ribosomal RNA", at positions 1171 to 2188 of the family's 2925-position model. The record is from RNAcentral. Lineage: Bacteria; Pseudomonadati; Pseudomonadota; Gammaproteobacteria; Enterobacterales; Enterobacteriaceae.
UGUAACGGGGCUAAACCAUGCACCGAAGCUGCGGCAGCGACACUCAGGUGUUGUUGGGUAGGGGAGCGUUCUGUAAGCCUGCGAAGGUGGCCUGUGAGGGUUGCUGGAGGUAUCAGAAGUGCGAAUGCUGACAUAAGUAACGAUAAAGCGGGUGAAAAGCCCGCUCGCCGGAAGACCAAGGGUUCCUGUCCAACGUUAAUCGGGGCAGGGUGAGUCGACCCCUAAGGCGAGGCCGAAAGGCGUAGUCGAUGGGAAACGGGUUAAUAUUCCCGUACUUGGUGUUACUGCGAAGGGGGGACGGAGAAGGCUAUGUUGGCCGGGCGACGGUUGUCCCGGUUUAAGCGUGUAGGUGUGUGUUCCAGGUAAAUCCGGUUCACUUUAACACUGAGGCGUGACGACGAGGCACUACGGUGCUGAAGCAACAAAUGCCCUGCUUCCAGGAAAAGCCUCUAAGCAUCAGGUAACAUCAAAUCGUACCCCAAACCGACACAGGUGGUCAGGUAGAGAAUACCAAGGCGCUUGAGAGAACUCGGGUGAAGGAACUAGGCAAAAUGGUGCCGUAACUUCGGGAGAAGGCACGCUGACAUGUAGGUGAAGUGAUUUACUCAUGGAGCUGAAGUCAGUCGAAGAUACCAGCUGGCUGCAACUGUUUAUUAAAAACACAGCACUGUGCAAACACGAAAGUGGACGUAUACGGUGUGACGCCUGCCCGGUGCCGGAAGGUUAAUUGAUGGGGUCAGCGCAAGCGAAGCUCCUGAUCGAAGCCCCGGUAAACGGCGGCCGUAACUAUAACGGUCCUAAGGUAGCGAAAUUCCUUGUCGGGUAAGUUCCGACCUGCACGAAUGGCGUAAUGAUGGCCAGGCUGUCUCCACCCGAGACUCAGUGAAAUUGAACUCGCUGUGAAGAUGCAGUGUACCCGCGGCAAGACGGAAAGACCCCGUGAACCUUUACUAUAGCUUGACACUGAACAUUGAGCCUUGAUGUGUAGGAUAGGUGGGAGGCUUUGAAGUGUGGACGCCAGUCUGCAUGGAGCCG